GCUAAAAACCAUUCUAUUGUAAUUAAAAGUUAACCUAGAACAGCUUCCUGAUAGGCUUUAUAAGAAAAUUAGCUGUCUUACAGUGAAGGUUGGCUAGCAAAUCUUAUUGUAGAAUGACUUUCUGCUUUCUCUCACCUUUGGAAAUAAGUUUACUUCUUAAGUCUCAUAAAACAUCAGUGAAUAAAACACAUCACUGCUCUUUAUAGCAAUGUUUCAAAUUCAGAUGAAACAUUUUCUAACUUGGUUACAAUUAUAGGGAAUGGUGGGGGAAAAAAGUGAAGACAUAAAAUUACACAAAGGUUUAAUUCCUCAGUAGCAAGUAUACAUUUUACUGCUGUUUCUUCAGAAAAGCAAAAAAUCCCAAGUCAACAAUCAAUAGGAAGAUAUAUAUAAAAGUUGGUAGUGAGCCACUAAGGCCUAGAUUGUCAGUCUUCAUCUGAGAAUAAACACUUUACCCAGCACAGACACAAGUACUAGCCCUCAGAUCUGUAAAGAGAAGCAAACAAUUUUCCCUGUACCCAUCCUGAAGAAAAACUGUAAGGCUAAAGUACAGUGCAGACAAUUAGCUCCUGAUUCAUUGGCAUGCACAGAUUGAAUCUACUGCUGUUACUUUCUGUCUAGGUGUUGAUUGUUUGUUUCCCCAUGAAAGCUAAUAAUUUCUUUUUACUUGCUUUGUUAAUGAUGCCUAUGACUGAACUUGUUAUCAAUUUAACCUUUGGGCAUGGAUGGAUUAAAAAAUAUUAUUCCCC
Passer domesticus (house sparrow) is the source of this 749-nucleotide long non-coding RNA. RefSeq lists it as uncharacterized. Lineage: Eukaryota; Metazoa; Chordata; Aves; Passeriformes; Passeridae. The record is from RefSeq and is a predicted model, not a curated record. The transcript has 3 exons.